AUACGUAGGUGCCAAGCGUUAUCCGGAUUUACUGGGCGUAAAGGGCGUGUAGGCGGUCUUGCAAGUCAGAAGUGAAAUUCCUGAGCUCAACUCGGGCGCUGCUUCUGAAACUGCAGGACUUGAGUGCUGGAGGGGAUAGCGGAAUUCCUAGUGGAGCGGUAAAAUGCGCAGAUAUUAGGAAGAACACCGGUGGCGAAGGCGGCUAUCUGGACAGUAACUGACGCUGAGGCGCGAAAGCGUGGGGAGCAAACAGGAUUAGAUACCCUGGUAGUCCACGCUGUAAACGAUGAUUACUAGGUGUGGGGGGACUGACCCCUUCCGUGCCGCAGUUAACACAAUAAGUAAUCCACCUGGGGAGUACGGCCGCAAGGUUGAAACUCAAAUGAAUUGACGGGG
This 396-nucleotide ribosomal RNA is filed under the name uncultured bacterium. Its description in RNAcentral is "partial 16S ribosomal RNA". It matches the Rfam family "Bacterial small subunit ribosomal RNA", at positions 523 to 918 of the family's 1533-position model. The record is from RNAcentral.